AACGAACGCUGGCGGCAGGCUUAACACAUGCAAGUCGAACGCAUCCUUCGGGGUGAGAGGCAGACGGGUGAGUAACGCGUGGGAACGUGCCCUUCAGUUCGGGAUAACCCAGGGAAACUUGGACUAAUACCGGAUACGUGCGAGAGCAGAAAGAUUUAUCGCUGAAGGAUCGGCCCGCGUCUGAUUAGCUAGUUGGGGGGGUAAUGGCCCACCAAGGCGACGAUCAGUAGCUGGUCUGAGAGGAUGAUCAGCCACAUUGGGACUGAGACACGGCCCAAACUCCUACGGGAGGCAGCAGUGGGGAAUAUUGGACAAUGGGCGCAAGCCUGAUCCAGCCAUGCCGCGUGAGUGAUGAAGGCCUUAGGGUUGUAAAGCUCUUUCGUCCGGGACGAUAAUGACGGUACCGGAAGAAGUAGCCCCGGCUAACUUCGUGCCAGCCGCCGCAGUAA
Molecule: ribosomal RNA, 449 nt
Filed under: uncultured bacterium
Lineage: Bacteria
Description: partial 16S ribosomal RNA
Rfam family: Bacterial small subunit ribosomal RNA
Source: RNAcentral